UCAUCAUCAAGGACCUUCUGAAGCUGUCAGAACACUUCUAAUUCUCAAGCACUAAGCAGAAGGGAUGAGAAAAUUCGUUGUACUGAGACGUCAUUAGGUGAUUCUGACCCGCAUUCCCCUUUCCUAGGUAUCUGAAAAAACAGUCCUCAAUUCAACAACCUACUUCAGUAAUCAUCCAGAACAAUCAAGUAUUCAAUCAGCAUCUCCUUUAAUUGCAACUCUAGCCAACAACAAUGCCUGCAAGCUGGCAGAUUCCUGAUGAAAUGAACUCUCAAAAGUGAAUGUUCAUGGAACAAAAGUGAUAUUUAAAAU
Long non-coding RNA from Tyto alba (common barn owl), 312 nucleotides. RefSeq lists it as uncharacterized. The record is from RefSeq and is a predicted model, not a curated record. The transcript has 3 exons. Lineage: Eukaryota; Metazoa; Chordata; Aves; Strigiformes; Tytonidae.